GGGGAAUUAGUUUAAUGGGAAAACGGCGGCUUUGCAAGCCGUAAAUGAGAGUUCGAUUCUCUCAUUCUCCA
RNAcentral lists this transfer RNA (71 nucleotides) under Bacillus velezensis. RNAcentral describes it as "tRNA-Ala". It matches the Rfam family "tRNA". Rfam says of the family: Transfer RNA (tRNA) molecules are approximately 80 nucleotides in length. RNAcentral also lists the same sequence under 1 other name. Lineage: Bacteria; Bacillati; Bacillota; Bacilli; Caryophanales; Bacillaceae. The record is from RNAcentral.